AACGAACGCUGGCGGCAUGCCUAACACAUGCAAGUCGAACGAGACCUUCGGGUCUAGUGGCGCACGGGUGCGUAACGCGUGGGAACCUGCCCUUAGGUUCGGAAUAACUCCCCGAAAGGGGUGCUAAUACCGGAUAAUGUCUUCGGGCCAAAGAUUUAUCGCCUUUGGAUGGGCCCGCGUUGGAUUAGCUAGUUGGUAGGGUAAAAGCCUACCAAGGCGACGAUCCAUAGCUGGUCUGAGAGGAUGAUCAGCCACACUGGGACUGAGACACGGCCCAGACUCCUACGGGAGGCAGCAGUGGGGAAUAUUGGACAAUGGGCGAAAGCCUGAUCCAGCAAUGCCGCGUGAGUGAUGAAGGCCUUAGGGUUGUAAAGCUCUUUUACCCGGGAUGAUAAUGACAGUACCGGGAGAAUAAGCUCCGGCUAACUC
This 429-nucleotide ribosomal RNA is filed under the name uncultured bacterium. RNAcentral's name for it is "partial 16S ribosomal RNA". It matches the Rfam family "Bacterial small subunit ribosomal RNA", at positions 29 to 503 of the family's 1533-position model. The record is from RNAcentral.